Molecule: ribosomal RNA, 306 nt
Filed under: uncultured bacterium
Lineage: Bacteria
Description: partial 16S ribosomal RNA
Rfam family: Bacterial small subunit ribosomal RNA
Source: RNAcentral
GACAGCAGUAGCCACGGGAAUACGGAGGGUGCAAGCGUUAAUCGGAAUUACUGGGCGUAAAGCGCACGCAGGCGGUCUGACAAGUCAGAUGUGAAAUCCCCGGGCUUAACCUGGGAACUGCAUUUGAAACUGUCAGGCUGGAGUCUUGUAGAGGGGGGUAGAAUUCCAGGUGUAGCGGUGAAAUGCGUAGAGAUCUGGAGGAAUACCGAUGGCGAAGGCAGCCAUCUGGCCUAAUACUGACGCUGAGGUACGAAAGCAUGGGGAGCAAACAGGAUUAGAUACCCCGGUAGUCCCUGUCUCUUAUAC